AUGGAGAUGGACCAAUGGGUCACUGCCUGUGAGGAUGAGCUGGAACUGUCAAUGUACAGUGAAGAUGUGGUGACUGGUGAAGAGGCAGAGUUUGAUCAUGCGUCAGAAGCUUCUGUGGAUGAUUGGACUCAGUAUAAGGAGAAGAUGCUUGAGGAGCUUAAAAGGACCAUUUCUGCUCAUCUGUCCGCGAUAGAACAUACAUUGAUGAUGAUCAAUUUUUUCUUGACUUUUUGCCAUAAAUAUCCUUUUAAUAUAUUUGUACAUUAAUGCUGUAUCGCAGUGUACAAAAAUGCUGUGAGAAGCAUUCUCCCCUGUGAGUCUGUAAAACUGACUUUAGUCACCUGUUAAAUCCAGACUAAAGUGUAAUAAAAGAAAAAGCUAAGGCAAAGCUUCCUAAAUUUAUGUCUGCACAUUAUUGUGACGCAUUUGUUUUAUAAAUAAUACUUUGUAUUUUUUACACACUGAAAUACCUGAACAGUGAAACUUUUGUGAUUAAUUUAUUAUAUAUUUGCUGGUGUUGUAAUGAGUAACAGACAGCAAGAGCAAACAAAACCAUAAAGCCCCAACCUGUAAUGGACCGGAAAACUAUUUUAUUAAACCUCAAUUUCUGGAAUCACAUAAAGACACUUUCUUUUUGUUCUUCUCACAAUAUCUUUGAUACAUAAAAGCUCUUUAAAGAGCCACUUCAAUUAAAAAAAAGGGUUUCUGGUGUUUUUAAAAUGUUCUUGCAGCUUUUUCUUUUAUGACAGAGGGAAAAAAAGAUUAGUUUCUUAUUAUUUCUUUAUUCGAAUUGGUGUAAAUCAGGAGCAGACAAAAGAAUGCCAUUGGAAAAAGCUUUUAGCAGUGACGUACUGGUAGGUUCUACAAAUGGGCAGGCCACAUGCUACCUGCUCCACUUCUUCAGGUGCAUCUACUUGUAGAUGACAGGAUCCAUUGGGUCUUCACUUUCCUCAUCUGAGCUGGCAUCUGACUUAAAACUGUAUGAUUGGAUAGUUCCAAUUGCUCGCCUUUUUUGCUGGUUGGAGUUGUGAGGGGCUGUAAACUAGUGAGGGAUUAUGGGGAAAUGAGGAAAAGCUUACUCUGCGCCAACGGUCUCGCCCACAAUCCAGAGACAAAUUUCUAUUUAAUUACUACCGCUCAGCAGAAACUAUAUCCUAGAAAAUGUUCCCGGCCCUUAUUCUAUUAAGUCUGAGUUCAAAGACCAAAGAGAAAAUAUCUACUUAGCGACGGAUCAAAAUUUGCAUCAAAUUUUGAGUGUAAAGGGAUCUAUCAAGGGAC
This 1278-nucleotide long non-coding RNA is filed under the name Oryzias javanicus (javanese ricefish). RNAcentral describes it as "lncRNA (ENSOJAG00000001448.1)". The record is from RNAcentral. Lineage: Eukaryota; Metazoa; Chordata; Actinopteri; Beloniformes; Adrianichthyidae.